CUCAAUGAAAAUGUUGAAUAGCCAGAGAGAGACCAUACUCUAGUGAAGUCCAUGAUGGUUUCAACCAAAACUUCCCCCCUUAGGAAUAAAGUUUCACCAUGUUCUGGUGCCAGAUUUUUAUGAUAAUCAGGUCAAGUUUCACCCAAUUAUCAGGGAUCACGAGGCUAAUAAGACCAAAUAUGACUCUCACAACUCUUUAAAGCUGAAGCUUUCAACUCUUACAAACCGGAGGCCAGCCAAACGAUUGAAUGUCCUACGCUUGAGAGAUACAAAUGAG
Molecule: long non-coding RNA, 277 nt
Organism: Daucus carota subsp. sativus
Lineage: Eukaryota; Viridiplantae; Streptophyta; Magnoliopsida; Apiales; Apiaceae
Exons: 4
Source: RefSeq, a predicted model, not a curated record